Molecule: long non-coding RNA, 11702 nt
Filed under: Musa acuminata (dwarf banana)
Lineage: Eukaryota; Viridiplantae; Streptophyta; Magnoliopsida; Zingiberales; Musaceae
Description: long non-coding RNA (MACU_LNC005041)
Source: RNAcentral
CUGUGGCAUGCGCAGAGUGAUCAGUGUGGGUCGGGAGCAGCGGAGAUCAUCGACUGCAUAGAUCCAAUCAGGCCUAUUACCGGGUUCAACAAGAAGCGGCAGCUGGGUUCGCAGUUGGCGACGAGCUUGCCGGUGGCGCUGUCGUAGGUCUCCAUGGUCUCCACCAGGAAGUCUGGCUCGGGGUUUUCGAUGAGCGGGUCAACGCAGCAGGUCGGCUGCCAGAACCACCCUGGCUGGCAGCGAGUCCCCGGCCACUGCAGGAGUCACGAUCCGUUAGACUUCAUUAACAGUUUACCGUACAAGAAAGGCUUUCUGUAAAGCCGAGAGAGAGAGAGAGAGAGAGGAAUAGGUACUAUGAGAGACAGGAUCAUGUAGUCGUAUGAAGCAGCUGCUAGCGCACAAGAGGCGGCGCACAAGAGGAAGCAGAACGUGGGAAGAGCCUUUGAGCCAGCCAUUCUGCAGAGGUGGAGAGGAUGAUCGGGGGAGAGACGCUUCGUGAGGUGAUGAGUCUGAUGGCUCUAUAUAAGCACUACAUUGAAGACACACCCACCUACUGAUAAUUGUUGGACUAAUAAUGCACCGCGAUUGCUGUUAGGGGGGUCUUAAAAUAAUGCACUUCGCAUAAAAUGUCGUACACCAACAUGAAACAUGAGGGACAUUCCCGCAUAUCGCAAGCAUAGUGGGUUGCAAAAUGCAAGGAAAGAAAGUAAGGAAUUUAUUUGAUUAUGGUCUCUCAUAGCUAUAAGAUUAUGGUCUCUCGUAGCUAUAUGGACUAUGUGACAUCGUCAAACCACGAUGUCACCUCCACCCUCCACCCCACCAGCCACUGGACCCUUUCCAUACAUUACAAUCAUUAAUCUUGAUGGAGGUGAACGAGAGAUAAUCAUAAGUAUUUUUCCUCUCUUCUCUUUUGUAUGACUCAUCGUAUUAGAUAUUAUCGUACGCUUCACGCACAUAUUGUUUUACUCACCUGAUCGAGCAACGAUAAUAGUGUGAUAGAAGCGAGCAAGGGAUACUCCUUCGACUAAGGGGCUUGAAAUCUAAGAGAUAGAAAAGGGAUUGAGGAUAAAGACACGAGCAAGAGAUAAUAUAAUUUUAUGACGAAUAAGAGUUAAAGAGUAAGAUGAGAAUGACUAUAUGAUGCGAAUAAAACAAAAAAGUGACAUUAGUAGAAUAAAAAGUAAAAAANNNNNNNNNNNNNNNNNNNNNNNNNNNNNNNNNNNNNNNNNNNNNNNNNNNNNNNNNNNNNNNNNNNNNNNNNNNNNNNNNNNNNNNNNNNNNNNNNNNNCGUGUUAUUAUCUAUCGGCAAACAAUUGACUUGAUAAUUGAUAAGGCAUAUAUUUAGGAUCUCGGCCACGUCGCGAUCCACGCCACGUCACACUCCUGCAGAUUCAACACAAGGGUUGCCUUCCUUCCACGUCGAGUUGGAGCUCGUAUAGGGAGGCACCCUCUCAACAAGUCCCUUCCCAGAAAGCUUGGGACGUUGUCCCAUGGCGUCGUUCCGCGCAUACCGGGUGACGAUUACACGAAGGUACGAUCUUGGGGGUAUCGAUCGUCAAGUCAAAUCCGCGUAUAAUCGAUCCUCGGACAAUAGUAUAAAAUCCCUUGACCGGCAUCUGGCUAGGAGACAAAGAACAGAAGAAAAAAAUCACUGACUUAGUCUACGAUGGGCCAAAGUCGGGAAUCUCCAGACCAGGGCGUGUGUGCAGGAACGUGGCCACCCCCGAACUAGCUCAAUCCCUCAUUGGAGAUGCGACCAUCCUGGCCGUUGAUCCAGACGCGACCAUCCCGACCCCUGAUCCAACUCGGCCUCGAUGCUUCUUCCAAUCGAUCGAGAGGCGCACUCCCGAACGUCGAAAACUCUGGACAUCGACAUGUGAACCAAAACGUGCCGACUCCUCGACCACGGCACGUAAGUUCACCAACAAAAAUAACGACGCAUUGUUGAAACAUUGAUUAUAAUCAAAGAAGAACGUUCUCAAAAUUAUUUUAAAAAAUAUUUUAUUUCUACCUAAUUAGUCAAUUAUUUAAAAUUUUUUUGAUGAUCAAUUCAUUUUCACUAACUCAGUAAAAUAUAAUAUUUGAAGAAAAUUAUACUGAAGAUAGAAUGUAAUAAAUGUAAUUAUAUAUAUAUAAUUAAUAUUUUUAAAAUAUAUUAAAUCGGAUAAUUUUACGGAAUAAGGUUUUGAGUCGUUCGAUGUAUGACUCUGUUAUAUCAAUAUAAGAUGAUAUUUUAGAUAUUAAAAAUAUAUACGAGACAACAUUUUGGUGCAGUUAUAUAUGUUUAAGAAAGACCACUUUUAUUACUGCAGGUGUGAAGAAGAUGCGACUCUACAACUCGGGAGUAAAAGACGAAGCGACAGCUCACAUCACCAUAAGUGCAAGCAUGUGGAUCACGCCAAGCAGAAGAAGACAGGCUUAAAGCAGUUCCUCCAUCACAGUGCCAUCUCGUCGCCGGAGGGCAACUCGAUCACUGUCUUGGAAACGGCGUCGUCUUCACGGCCUUGCAGUGGGUACGACACAGGGGGGAACUUGACCGUGUCGCCGCAGUUACUCUCCCUGCCGUUGGGGCAGCCGAUGAUCGACCUCCCGUCGCUGGAGACGCAGACGCGGAUCUGGUAGAGGUAGUCUUCGUAGAAGAAAGGCCAGAGAAUGUAAUUCCUGGUGCACACCACCGUGAACGAGAACCCGAUCCUGGGCACCAACGCGUCGUUGAUGUCGUCCAGGCUGUAGCUCUUCGUCGCGUGCGGUAUGAUCCCACUCGAGCCCAGGUUGACGAGGGGGUCCACCUUCUUCCUGAGUUGAAGCGCCCGGUCGAAGUAGAGCGACUGGUUGAGGCUGGAGCAAGUGCCGUAGGUGCACCACACGUCCUUCCAGUGGGGCAUCCCGCUGUUGCUGGGACAGGUCAGGUUGGCGUAGUACGUGUACAAGUUGUCGAGCAUGUUCACCAGCUGUCCAAACAAGACAAAGCGGUCAUCAUCGACAUCUCGGCCGAGUUAGCUCGGGUGGAGGAGGCUAACGAGACUCACCGGAAGUAUCUUGAAGACGCAGCUUCUGCUGCAGCCGGUGACCGGUUUACCGGUGGCGCUGUCGUAGGUUUCCAGGGCUUGGACGAGGAAGUCCGCCGCCGGCUCGCCAUUCGUCGGCAUACAGCACUUCCCUGUCGGUUGCGAGCUAGCACAGUAGCUUCCUGGCCACUGCAGUGAGAAGGACAUCAUACCAUCACCCAUCUUGCCAUCGAUGGUUACCACUACUGCAGGAAACCAGAACCAAGUAGAGGGUAACUAUACCAUAAGUUUCAAGAUCAGGUAGUCGGGCUUCGAAGCUGCCCUUGCCGCCGGAGAGGAAGACAAGCAUAACAGCAAGACAAGCAAGCAGAUCCCAGGAAGAGCCUUGAGGAUAGCCAUUCUGCAGGAGCUGUCGAGUUGCCUUGGUGAUGGUGGAUAAUAUAAGCCCAUCGUGGAACACACUGGUUGUGGCCUGGUGGUGGCGGGAUCCAUGGCAGCUCUAUCAAGAAAUGGCUGUCCUCGUCUCAGCCAUCAGCCUCUCCCCACGAGUUUCACGUGGCUUGCAGAUCUCAUCGCUUUCGAGAAAUGGUCGCCGUGCUGUUCACCACCAAUUUAAUGAUGACAUUAAAAUAAUGGCACAGUACAAGAUCAGAUGAUGUUCCAUGUGACUGACUUCUUUUAUUUGGACUCUCUCUCUCUCUCAUGAUUCGGGAACGGACAAGGAGAUGGAAGCAUUGAUUACAGUCGAGCCACCCAAACAACACCCCACUCCUCGCCAUCAAAUGUUCUUAUCUUCACAGACCGAACAUCAUUGAAGGGACUAAUAAGAAGAAGAUGGAUAGCAACCUGAUCGAAACAAGAACAAUGUUGAGAUGGGGAGGGGUUACGAACCGGUUCUGAGAAAGAUUUCUAGAUGUGAUUUCCUCUAAAGAAAUCAUGCAUUAAUUUGUUCUUGACCAAGUACAACAUGACUCGGAGAUUGGUAGACAAGAAAAAUGUAUUCAGAUCGUUCAUAAUUUCAUUUAAGAAAACCGAUCUAGAAGGAUUUUUUUUUGCGACAAUUAGGGAUUGAAAAUAGUCACGAUUAAGCCACUAAGUAGGGGUGAUGGUAAUUUCAGAACGGUCAAUUUUGAUUUCCGAAAUCAGCAACCGAGAAAAUAAAGAGUUAAAAAUAAUUAUAAUGAAUAUCAAAGUCUUUCCUCCAAUUACUAUAUGUUAGGAUAAAAAAUAUCGUUGAUGCGUGUAUUAGCAUGAUGUGAUCCUGAUCCGCAUACGAGGAGUCGAUAGAACAAGAUUUCUUCGAUCUCGUUCAUAUACAAAGACUAAGAUUGAAAGGGAUUUUCCGAGUUGAUUUAUCUAAUGCUUAACUUAGCACUUAGUUGCAUACAAAGACUUAUUUUUUUUUUAAUGAAGAUCCUAUAGAGAAAAAGUUCGAACUCAACUAUCUUUUUUAUUUUUAUGAUAUAUUUUUGUGAAUAUUUUUAUAGGAAAACUAGUUUAUAAUCAACUCAAACUACCUUUUAAUAUUCCUGAAAUAUUCCUACAAAUAUUUUGUAAGAAAGUCUGAAUUGUCUUAUGGGAAUAAUUCACGAUUAGCUAGUUUUUAAUUGAUCUGAAUUAUCUUCAAUUUUUUAUGAAUAUUUAAAUAUUUCAUCGAGGAGGUAGCUUAACAAAUCGGUAAUUGACCCGAGCUAUCUUUUGAGUUCGAAUAGAAAAUAUUGGCUUAAUAUGACAUUGACGUUACGAACGAUGACUAACCAAUUUAAUAUUUUCUUUCGCUAUGUGUAGUCAAACACUAUGUGAGUUGUGUUCAAACCACAAACUCUACGUAGCUAAAGAAAAAAAAAAAGGUAAGAUUAUUUUGUAUGAUCUAUAUUGAUCAAACGAUAAACAAGAAAAAAAUAGAAAAAGGUAAGAUAAGAUUAUUUUUUAUGGUCUCAUCGAAUAAAGUUUAUGUCGUCGAAACAAUUUCUAUGGUUACAAGAAUAGUGGAAGUCUCGUCAAGAGGAAACAAAAGAAUAUGGAAUAUGUGGAUCUCCUUUUUCCACGAAGGAGAGAUGGCAGAAGAAUUUUGUGUUCGAAUCCCAUCAUUUAUUUUGUAUCAAAAAAAGACACUAAUUCAACGAAAAGCUGAACACAAAUGAUGGAGAGAUGGAGUUUAGAUAUCAAACGUAUGGGAAUUUUACCUUCAUUAAGUAAAAUCCCAACUUGUUCAUGACAGGUAAUAUGCUCUGUUGUUAUUUGAUUAAUCUUAGAGACAGAGAUCAUAAAACAACAUCUUAUUCCAGUAGAUCGCAAGACGAUGAUGACAUCCUACACACAGGCAAUUCAUCAUGUUUGAGUGCCAAGAUGAUGAUGAUGACAUCCGCAUGACAAGAGGGCAGUAAUCCGUGGAUCGAUCACUGAGUCAUCGCCUUGUCCGAUGGCAACUUGAUGUGGUCGACCGCCGGAUGGCGCGGGCGCCCGAGCAUGUCGUCCGUGAACGGGUAGAACUUGACCUUGCUGCCGCAGUUGCUCUUCCUGGCGAAGGGACAACCGAUGAGAGACUUGCCGUCGGCGGAGACGCAGAUGCGGACUCUGGAGAGCAGGUAUUCCCGACUCAGCACGCCCAUCUCCGUGGUGCACUCCACCACCGCCGAGAACCCGAUCUUGGGCACCAGCGCGUCCUCGAUGUCCUCCAAACUGUAGCUCUUCGUCUCCGACGGGAUGAUGGCUUGAGAUCAGGAACAGAUCCAUGCGUUAGCUGCAGACACUUGUAAGCUCGAGGUCGGCGUGCAGGGCAGGGCUGCUUACCUUUGGAGCCGAGAGCACGGAGGAUGUCCACUCGAGCCCGGAGCUGAAGCGCCCGGCCGAAGUAAUUCACCUCGCUGAGGCUGGUACAGUUGCCGUAGGUACACCAGGCGGCCUUCCACACCUGCUUCCCGUUCUGGGCUGGGCAGCUCAAGCUGGGCCAGUAGGCGUUCAAGUCGUCCAACAGAUCGACAAGCUGUGGCAUGCGCAGAGUGAUCAGUGUGGGUCGGGAGCAGCGGAGAUCAUCGACUGCAUAGAUCCAAUCUGGCCUAUUACCGGGUUUAUCAAGAAGCGGCAGUUGGGUUCGCACUUGGCGACGAGCUUGCCGGUGGCGCUGUCGUAGGUCUCCAUGGUCUCCACCAGGAAGUCUGGCUCGGGGUUGCCGAUGAGCGGGUCAACGCAGCAGGUCGGCUUCCCGUUCCACCCUGGCUGGCAGCGAGUCCCCGGCCACUGCAGGAGUCACGAUCCAUUAGACUUCAUUAGCAAUUCACAGUAGGACUCAUCGAUUGCACAAGAAGGGCUUUCUGUAAAGCCGAAACAAAAGAGAGAGAGGAAUAGGUACUCUGAGAGACAGGAUCAUGUAGUCGUAUGAAGCAGCUGCUAGCGCACAAGAGGCGGCGCACAAGAGGAAGCAGAACGUGGGAAGAGCCUUUGAGCCGGCCAUUCCGCAGAGGUGGGAAGGAUGAUCGGGGGAGAUGAUGAGUCUGAUGGCUCUAAAUAAGCACGAAGACACACCCACCCACCCACCGAUAAUUGUUGGGCUACAUCGAUAUUGUUCUCGUGAGUAUAAUAUAAUAUAAUAUAAUGCACCUCGAUUGCGGCAUGGGGGUCGUAAAAUAAUGCACUUCGCUUUAAAUUUCGUACACCAACGUGAAACACGUGGGACGUUCCCGCAUCCCGCAAUCGUAGUGGGUUGGAAAGUGCGAGGAAAAAAAGAAGGAUUUUAUUUGAUUAUGGUCUCUCAUAGCAUAUUAUACUCUUCAUCUAAAUUAGGGAUUAAAAGGCUUCGAGACCAAGCAAGUGAAUAAUAAUAAAAUAAUAUAUUAAAAAAUCGAUCAAGAAAAAAUCCGUAAAAUAUUUUAUUCAUCUUUGAACAUGCUUUCGACCAUGCAUUAUUGAAACAUAUUCGUCCAUUUGAAAUAUCAUAUCUUUAAUCGCAUAUUACAUAUCAUAUGAAUUGGAUAUGUGUACUACCAUUAUUUUCCUUAAAUAAUAAUUUAAAUUUAUUAAAUUAAAAUUUAUGCCUGUGGACAUUAUUGUGUGAUCGGAACUGAGAACGAAGACUCGAACAAUGCAAAGGUCCGUAAGGUCUCGCCGAAUCAUCUUCCUUUGUCUUCCCUUUUACGCCAUCGGCGGUACCGAUGCAUUCGAUCCGGAGCUGGGCCUUCUCCGCCCUGAUCCUGGCUGUCACCGUCCUCUUCUUCUUCUUCUUCGACUGGCCGUCUCCUCCUCUUCAAGAAAUAGCCGGAGAUAUUCCUGGAUCCUUGAAUGACAUCGCUGUGACGGUAGGCCAUGGCUUCGAUUUCUUUCUCUCCCCUUCCUCUUCCCUUACCUUCUUUUCCCUUAGGAUAGGACAUAUUUUGGCCUUAUAUGAACCACCGAUAGACGUUGCAGAUCGACACAACACCGUACGCCUCCAAAACCGUGGGGUGCAUGCCACGUCAAGAGCCAACGAUGCAAUUGUGCGGCUUGACCACCUCAAAAGCUGGGGGCGGUGCCGUCUGCUGCUAGGGCAGUGUCGUCUGACGCCCCUCGAGCACCCUCGAAGAUGUCAUCUUGUCAGAGAGGUUGUUCCGCCCCUAGAGUUAACGACCAUAUCGGACCAGGGCCCGACCAAUUACCGCACGCAGGUAUAAAUACCCCCGACCUGAUCCAAAAAAAAGGGAGAAAAGGAUGAGAGAUUUAGAAUGAAUCUAACUUGCUCGUCGGAGGGGCCAAAGUUGGGACUUACCCUACGAGGGUCUUUUUGCAGAGAGGUAGUCGUCGCUGAGACGCGAAUGUCGUCUUCACACGGACGGUGCCCGGUACGCAGAGGAGGGUGGCCCAACGAGUCGGACUCGACAAGUGUCAGCCCGCAUCUCCCAUCUCCAAGAGGCUUCCACACCACAAGGAGGAUCCCCAACCAUCCGAGGGGAUGAGAGGACGCAUCUUCUCAUGAACAAUGCUCAUAUCGGCCAACUUUGGAAAGCCGGCUCACAGCGAGGCUCAGGCCGACCUUGCCACCUCAACCGGCGCUCAACGCGUUUAAGGGGCGCAACCACUCAAACGAUAGUAAUUCCGCCAGAAGUUCCCGACGUCGGCAGGUGGGCCUAGUCAUGCUGACAUAUUAGUCACGACAUGUUUGUUCACUAACAUUUUGGCCCUAGAAGAAGGGCCCAUGUCGCGGGAAUAGCUGGCAAGAACGUGCCCUGGGAGGGAACCCCCGACCGACCUCCCUUUCGCUGAGCCAGAAGGACAACCCCUCUCUACCCCUAUGGACGGAGGGAUACCGAUUUCAACGCUUGAUCGUUACUGGCGCUUGUUCAACGACCCGGGACUAUCCCCCCCGGGGCUCACCCCGGGGGGCCCGGCUGUGAUGCCCGAGGCAUUCCUUAGCCUAACCAAGCAAGUAUAGACCAUGACAGGCAUGAUGCACUCACUCGCCCCGAUCACUCCCCAAAUCGGGCAGCCCUCGAUGCCCUCGACCGAUCCGACCCGGCAACCCCCGAACGGGGAACAGCUCGGGGUUGGGCCAGCCUCGUGGCGAGCAACGGACCCGAGGGGUCCUCCCGUGCAAAAUGCGCCCACAGCUUGCUGAGCCACCCCAUCUCAUCUAGAGCCCGAUACUAUAUCAUCUGACUCGGCGAACGACUCACUCAGAGCUCAGUUGUCCCGGGUCAAUCAGCACCUGGACGAGUUCCAGCGUGAGCUUUGGAGAUUGCGUAGUGAGCCUAGCGAGGGCGCUUUGGUUGGGUCCCUCUUUACCCAAGAAGUACAAGAUAAGCCGGUCCCCCUCAACUUCAGGUUCCCGACAUUAGAAACGUACGAUGGAGGCUCGAUCCCAUGGAGCAUGUCUUUGUAUUCCGGGCCUAGAUGGCCCUCUAUGGUGCCUCCGAUGUGCUGAUGUGCCGAGUGUUUCCGACCACUCUGCGUGGCCCGGCGUGGACAUGGUUCAGCCGGCUGUGUCAAGCUUCAGUCUCGUCCUUCGACCAGGUGGUCGAGGAAUUUGAGCAAAGCUUCCUCACCGGCGCACGGCCCAGGCCCUCCAUGGCCACUUUGCUUGCACUAUCUCAGCACGAGGACGAGUCGCUCUCUCAGUUCGUGGCACGGUUCACACUAAGAUCCGAGGUUUUUCAGAUACUCACCCUUCUCUAAUCUUGCAAGCCUUUAUGAUGGGUCUUAAACCUUUAAGGUUCUUAUGGUCGUUGAUCGAGAAGCCGCCAGCGACCAUCUCUGAGAUGCUUCUACGUGCCAACCAGUACAUUGCCGUCGAGGCUUUAGUGGCGGGGAGGCACGUGGAAGGCAAGAAGCUCAGGAUGGAGCUGUCUCGAGGAACGGCCUCGGCGUUCCCGACGCCUCCCCGCCGGGGGCUCAACCGACAAGAGCUGCUACUCCCAAGACCCCCACCUCUCCCCCUAAACACAUCCCGUUCCGAGAUCUUCCUCUAGAUCAAAGAGACGAGCCUCUUGCAGCAGCCUUGCCCUAUGAAGGCCGCCCACAGAGACCAAUCUAAAUACCGUGGGGAUCCGUCGGCACACCCCGGAGGUGGGGGAGAAGUGAUAGGGCAUAUUUUGGCUCUAGAUGAAUCACCAACAAAUGUCACAAACCAAUAGCCACGAACGCAAUGCCAUGCGCCACCAGAACCACGGGGUGCAUGCCACGUCAAGUUCGGUACUAUGUGAUUGUGCGACUUGACCACCCCAAGAGCUCGGGGCGGUGUCGUCUACUUUUGGGACAGUGCCGUCUGACGCCACUCAAGCACCCCCAAGGAUGCCAUCUCGUCAAAGAAGUUAUCCCACCCCCAUGAAAGUUAGCGGCCACGCCGAACUGAGGCACAACCAACUCUCGCACGCAAGUAUAAAUACCCCCGUCCGAUCCCGAUGAGAGAAGAAAAAAAGGAGGAAGAAAAAACAGGGGAAUCCGAACUAAUCUAACUUGCUUGUCGGUGGGGCCAAAGUCGAGAGACACUCGACGAAGACCGUUUUGCAGGGAGGUGAUCGCCACUGAGCUGCGAGCGUCUCCACCCUGAAGUUGUCACCUAAUGCGCAGAGGAGGGUGGUCCAGUGGUUCGGAUCCCAACCAGCGCCGGCCUGCAUCUCCCAUCUCAAGGGUGUGCCCACGUCGCGGGGAAAGAUUGCCAACUAUCCCGGGGAUGAGAGGACACAUCUCGCCAGAAGCGACGCUCAGGUCGGCUAGCUUUGGAGUGCUAACCCCCAGCCGCUCGCGAGGACCCGACCGACCCUACCGCCUCAACCCUCGCUCGUAACGCUCGAGAGGCGCAACCAUCUCAUCAUCCUACUCAUUCCACUAGAAGUUUCCGACGUCGGUCCGUGGACCAAACUGUGAUGUCUCAUCAGCCAUGGUACUUUUGUUCACUAACAGACAUCAAACAUAUGGGAAUUUUACCUUCAUUAAUUAAAAUCCCAACUUGUUCAUGACCGGUAAUAUGCUAUGUGAUUAUUUGAUUAAUCUUAGAGACAGAGAUCAUAAAACAUCAUCUUAUUCCAGCAUAUGGCAAGACGAUGAUGACAUCCUACACACAGGCAAAUCAUCGUGUUUUAGUGCCAAGAUGAUGAUGAUGAUAUCCGCAUGACAUCGUACACAUAUCGCCUUGUCCGAUGGCAACUUGAUAUGGCCGGCCGCCGGAUGGCGCGGGCGCCCGAGCAUGUCGUCCGUGAACGGGUAGAACUUGACCUUGCUGCCGCAGUUGCUCUUCCUGGCGAAGGGACAACCGAUGAUAGACUUGCCGUCGGCGGAGACGCAGAUGCGGACUCUGGAGAGCAGGUAUUCCCGACUCAGCACGCCCAUCUCCGUGGUGCACUCCACCACCGCCGAGAACCCGAUCUUGGGCACCAGCGCGUCCUCGAUGUCCUCCAAACUGUAGCUCUUCGUCUCCGACGGGAUGAUGGCUUGAGAUCAGGAACCGAUCCAUGCGUUAGCUGCAGACACUUGUAAGCUCGAGGUCGGCAUGCAGGGCAGGGCUGCUUACCUUUGGAGCCGAGGGCAUGGAGGACGUCGGCUCGAGCCCGGAGCUGAAGCGCCCGGCCGAAGUAAUUCACCUCGCUGAGGCUGGUACAGUUGCCGAAGGUACACCAGGCGGCCUUCCACACCUGCUUCCCGUUCUGGGCUGGGCAGCUCAAGCUGGGCCAGUAGGCGUACAAGUCGUCCAACAGAUCGACAAGCUGUGGCAUGAGCAGAGUGAUCAGUGUGGGUCGGGAGCAGCGGAGAUCAUCGACUGCAUACAUCUAAUCUGGCCUAUUACCGGGUUUAUCAAGAAGCGGCAGUUGGGUUCGCACUUGGCGACGAGCUUGCCGGUGGCGCUGUCGUAGGUCUCCAUGGUCUCCACCAGGAAGUCUGGCUCGGGGUUGUCGAUGAGCGGGUCAACGCAGCAGGCCGGCUUCCCGGUCCACCCUGGCUGGCAGCUAGUCCCCGGCCACUGCACGAGUCACGAUCCAUUAGACUUCAUUAGCAGUUCACCGCAGGAGUCAUCGUUUGCACAAGAAAGGCUUUCUGUAAAGCCGAAACAAAAGAGAGAGAGAGAGAGAGAGAGAGAGAGAGAGGAAUUAGGUACUAUGAGAGACAGGAUCAUGUAGUCGUAUGAAGCAGCUGCUAGCGCACAAGAGGCGGCACACAAGAGGAAGCAGAACGUGGGAAGAGCCUUUGAGCCAGCCAUUCUGCAGAGGUGGGGAGGAUGAUCGGGGGAGA